GAGAAGAUAUCAAGGGCGCACGGCGGAUGCCUUGGCACAGGAAGUCGACGAAGGACGCGGCAAGCCGCGAUAGUCCCCGGGGAGGCGCACACGGCCUUCGAUCCGGGGGUCUCCGAAUGGGGGAACCCGCCCGGGGCCAUGCCCGGGCACCCUCCGCUGAACACAUAGGCGGAGGGGGACAACCGGGGGAACUGAAACAUCUAAGUACCCCGAGGAAGAGAAAUCAACCGAGAUUGCGCGAGUAGCGGCGAGCGAAAGCGCAAGAGCCCAAACCCGGGCGAGUGUAAGCGGCAGGCGUUG
Molecule: ribosomal RNA, 300 nt
Filed under: Parvibacter caecicola
Lineage: Bacteria; Bacillati; Actinomycetota; Coriobacteriia; Coriobacteriales; Coriobacteriaceae
Description: bacterial LSU rRNA
Rfam family: Bacterial large subunit ribosomal RNA
Source: RNAcentral